Molecule: long non-coding RNA, 1068 nt
Organism: Anolis carolinensis (green anole)
Lineage: Eukaryota; Metazoa; Chordata; Lepidosauria; Squamata; Anolidae
Exons: 3
Source: RefSeq, a predicted model, not a curated record
UUAAACCCAAUCAAAUCCCUCUGCUCUGGUGCUAAUUAAUGUUAUCAAGACAUAGCAGGAUUAUGCUGCCUCCUUUUUAUCUCUGCGUGACGGGUAACUUCAAAUAUCUUUCCUUCUUCCUUUAACAGUUGGAUGUCAUUUGAAAAUGAAGCAACAGCAGCAGCUAUUCUCAGCAGAACUGUUUUAACCCUCCCUCUGGGGGCUGAUGUAAAAUGAAAUAUGUGCUCUGCGUUUUUCAGCAUAGAUUUUAUGUAAUCAUAAAUUUUUCCACAUGAAUUGAAAGGCUGCAAAUUAGCUUGGAGAGCAGAUUCCUGGAUGUGUGAUCAGCAAGCAUUCCAGCAGUCAAGAAGUUAAUUUGCAGCCAAUCCUGAUUGAUUGCUGGAAGGGCAAAUGACAAGGACUUCCGUUUGUGCUACAUAACAGGAAGAUACAUCACAAGCUGUGGAAUUCAGAGGAGGUGCUUCGGUGCACAGAGAACAGACUUUGUGAGAGAUGGACAUGCUCCAUAUUUGAUCUUGUGGACACAACAUAUGUCCAGAUAGCUUUGGUUAAUUAGCACUGUAAAUAAAGCUUCAGUGCCGCUGGCUUCAGCAGAUAUAAAUCAGCAAAGUUGUCGUUCUUGGUCGGUGCCACUUUCGCCAUUUGCAGAGUGGUCUGACGGGUGAGCUGAGGUGGGACUUGGCUCAUCAAUCAGUCGGGGUCGCCGAUUCCCUGACAAGAUCCCACAGCUGAAUGUCAAAAUUCACUUCUGCAAAAACAGAGAGUUCAGAGUCUGGCGUGUCUAGCAUUCCAAAAGGCCAAAUGAGACACAGAUGGUUGAAGGCAAAAUCAGAGGUUUAUUUCUCAAUGACCAGAGAGGAUAUCAGCAAAAAAAAGCACCCCAGAGAAUUGACAUAUUGCAACUACAAAUACAUAGCAUAAUUAUUGUGUUUUGGCAUCUAUUCAAAUAUACCAUGCUGAUUGUCUCAGUAAAUGUCUGACUAGGAGAUGCCAAAGAAUGGCUCUGAUGCCAUCUCUGGUUGGUCAUUGCUGUGGUGGGAAACUUUAAUAAACUGUCAUUGAACUAUU